AAUAGCCUAACGGCUGAACCAGCAACUUGGAGGAAUGUAUAGCAAUAGCUAAUUGCAUCAAUGUUUAAAUAAUUGAUGCAAUAUCGACUAUGUCGAAUAAAAUUCUAGGUAGAAUUAUGAUAAUGACAUUGUCUGCCUAUGUGUCUUGACCAAAUUACGUGCCAGCAGUCGCGGUAAUACGUAGAAGACUAGUGUUAUUCAUCUUUAAUAGGUUUAAAGGGUACCUAGACGGUAAAUAAAGCCUGAAAUAUGGGACUAAUGUACUAGAGUUACUUACGAGGGGGUAUUAAAGUACUGCUGGUGUAGAGAUGAAAUUCUGUCAUACCUCGUUUCACAGGAAACACUACGGCACAGGUAUAGGCGAAAGCAUCUCCUUAUGUGAUAACUGACGUUGAAGGACGAAGGCUUUGUAUAGCGAACAGGAUUAGAUACCCCAGUAGUCAAAGCAGAAAAUGAUGAAUGUCAUAGAUUAGAUAUAUAGUUUAUUCUAUAAAUGAAAGUGUAAGCAUUCCACCUCAAGAGUAAUUUGGCAACAUUGGAACUGAAAUCAUUAGACCGUUUCUGAAACCAGUAGUGAAGUAUGUUGUUUAAUUUGAUAAUCCGCAAAAAACCUUACCACAAUUUGAAUAUUUUAAUUUUUAUUUUCUUUAUCUGUUUUUGUAUUGCCUUGCUUGAUUUUUUACUAAAAAAAGUUAUGUGAAAGAAAAAUAAUAAGGAGAAAAUAAAAAUUAAUUUACAAGCGUUGCACGGCUGUCUUCAGUUAAUGUCGUGAGAUUCUGGUUAGUUCCAUUAAUUAACGUAAACCCUUACUUUAUUUUUAUAUAGAGUUGUUCCCCACUAGAUUGGAUAAGAUAACAGGGACUAAGACAAGUCAUCAUGGCCUAAAUAUUGUGGGCUAUAGACGUGCCACAUAAACCUUACAAAAGGAUGUGAAAUUGCGAAAUUGAGCUAAUCCCCCAAAAAUGGAGAUACACUAACAAU
Molecule: ribosomal RNA, 981 nt
Filed under: Polyozosia hagenii
Lineage: Eukaryota; Fungi; Ascomycota; Lecanoromycetes; Lecanorales; Lecanoraceae
Description: SSU rRNA
Rfam family: Bacterial small subunit ribosomal RNA
Source: RNAcentral